RNAcentral lists this ribosomal RNA (253 nucleotides) under uncultured bacterium. RNAcentral describes it as "partial 16S ribosomal RNA". It matches the Rfam family "Bacterial small subunit ribosomal RNA", at positions 524 to 776 of the family's 1533-position model. The record is from RNAcentral.
UACAUGGGGUGCAAACGUUGCUCGGAAUCAUUGGGCGUAAAGCGCACGUAGGCGGUCUGUUAAGUCGGAUGUGAAAGCCCCGGGCUCAACCCGGGAAGUGCAUACGAAACUGGCGGACUUGAAUAUGGAAGAGGGUCGCGGAAUUCCCGGUGUAGAGGUGAAAUUCGUAGAUAUCGGGAGGAACACCAGUGGCGAAGGCGGCGACCUGGGCCAAUAUUGACGCUAAUGUGCGAAAGCGUGGGGAGCAAACAGG